This 1002-nucleotide long non-coding RNA is filed under the name Homo sapiens (human). RNAcentral describes it as "HSALNT0070903". The record is from RNAcentral. Lineage: Eukaryota; Metazoa; Chordata; Mammalia; Primates; Hominidae.
AGCAAAUUGUAUGCCACAGAGGUUUGGAGAGAGAUAUUCUUUCAUAUUUUUAAGAUGAUUCAGCUGAUGUUGUCUUUAUUGCCUUUGCCUAAAGCAAGUUACAAUGUAAAAGCUGAAUGUAUUGUCAAUGACAAAAUGCCACAGCAGAAUCAGAUUUUAGAGAUGGGUGGAUUAAAAAAAAGUGAAGUAAAGCCAUUUUCUCAAAAUAAACAAGUAAAUAAUAAUCUAAACUGAAAAUUCCCAAAGAGAAUGAUAACACCACGAAGCCCUGAAUACUUGUUGCAUCCGCACCUUUUCAAUAAGAAGAAUAUCUUUGUUAGAUUAGACAGUAAACAAAUAUUUGAUAAUAAAUGAAUUAUUGUAUUAUUUAAAAGGAACAGAAUGUGGAUUAAUCAUGUCUGGAAAGUUAAAAACUAAAUAAAUUUUGUUGUCUUCAAUAUCCAGAAAUUUAUAACCAUGAAAAAGUAAAAGGCAGAAAAGAAAUACCUAGUAGAAUGUUGCAACUUCCAGCUCCUUUGUACCUAACAGGCUAGUUUGGGCUUGUUGUCAUGGAAAUAGCAGGAGUCCCAACUACAAGAGUUGCAGUGUCAAGGCCUCAUCUUAUAACUGGCACAUAGUCACUUCCACCAUAUUCUUUUUGCUAAAGAAAGUCACAAAGUCAGCCCACGUUCAAGUAGAGGGGAAAUUGACUCCACCACUUGAUGUGAAGAGUUGGAAUAUCAUAGUUAUUGUUUCCUGUGAAUUGCCAUAGCAUAUUUCCUCACACUAACAACUCUGUAUUUCUUCCCGAAUUCUGAAAUAUUCUUUUGUUGGCUCUUCCUAUACUGGAUUCAUUACAUUAAGUUUUCCAUUUAAGUGUUAUUUCCUUAGAAAGACUUUAUCAUUUGUCAAAUAGCUCUAUUCUCUUCAUCAGUUACUCUAUUUUCUCAAUAGAAUAUGAACUUUGUAAAAACAGGAACUUUACUUUGUUUAUGCCAGUAGUUUAUAUACAUUUUCUGUUAU